GCACCUGAUUGAUUUUGGUCGCCAACGAGUGGCGGACGGGUGAGUAACACGUAGGUAACCUGCCCAGAAGCGGGGGACAACAUUUGGAAACAGAUGCUAAUACCGCAUAACAACGUUGUUCGCAUGAACAACGCUUAAAAGAUGGCUUCUCGCUAUCACUUCUGGAUGGACCUGCGGUGCAUUAGCUUGUUGGUGGGGUAAUGGCCUACCAAGGCGAUGAUGCAUAGCCGAGUUGAGAGACUGAUCGGCCACAAUGGGACUGAGACACGGCCCAUACUCCUACGGGAGGCAGCAGUAGGGAAUCUUCCACAAUGGGCGCAAGCCUGAUGGAGCAACACCGCGUGAGUGAAGAAGGGUUUCGGCUCGUAAAGCUCUGUUGUUAAAGAAGAACACGUAUGAGAGUAACUGUUCAUACGUUGACGGUAUUUAACCAGAAAGUCACGGCUAACUACGUGCCAGCAGCCGCGGUAAUACGUAGGUGGCAAGCGUUAUCCGGAUUUAUUGGGCGUAAAGAGAGUGCAGGC
RNAcentral lists this ribosomal RNA (524 nucleotides) under Limosilactobacillus fermentum. Its description in RNAcentral is "bacterial SSU rRNA". It matches the Rfam family "Bacterial small subunit ribosomal RNA", at positions 64 to 576 of the family's 1533-position model. Lineage: Bacteria; Bacillati; Bacillota; Bacilli; Lactobacillales; Lactobacillaceae. The record is from RNAcentral.